RNAcentral lists this non-coding RNA (87 nucleotides) under Fuerstiella marisgermanici. Its description in RNAcentral is "Fuerstia marisgermanicae sRNA-Xcc1". It matches the Rfam family "sRNA-Xcc1". Lineage: Bacteria; Pseudomonadati; Planctomycetota; Planctomycetia; Planctomycetales; Planctomycetaceae. The record is from Rfam by way of RNAcentral.
GCCGGGAGGGUGGUGAAAUAUAAUACCGCUCGCGGAAAUACACCGCAGGCCGUCUUUUGGGCUUUCUUAACCUCCCGGCACCACUCC